RNAcentral lists this long non-coding RNA (586 nucleotides) under Rattus norvegicus (Norway rat). Its description in RNAcentral is "long non-coding RNA NONRATT015794". The record is from RNAcentral. Lineage: Eukaryota; Metazoa; Chordata; Mammalia; Rodentia; Muridae.
AAUGACAGCCCAUAUCAAGGUGGUGUAUUCUUUUUGACAAUUCAUUUUCCUACAGACUACCCCUUCAAACCACCUAAGUUCUUUUAUCCAUUUGUUCACUGCUAUGUGAUCCAAACCCAGAUGACCCCCUAGUGCCAGAGAUUGCACGGAUCUAUAAAACAGACAGAGACAAGUACAACAGAAUAUCUCGGGAAUGGACUCAGAAGUAUGCCAUGUGAUGCUACCUUAAAGUCAGAAUAACCUGCAUUAUAGCUGGAAUAAACUUUAAAUUACUGUUCCUUUUUUGAUUUUCUUAUCCGGCUGCUCCCCUAUCAGACCUCAUCUUUUUUAAUUUUAUUUUUUGUUUCCCUCCCUCCAUUCAUUCACAUGCUCAUCUGAGAAGACCUAAGUUCUUCCAGCUUUGGACAAUAACUGCUUUUAGAAACUGUAAAGUAGUUACAAGAGAACAGUUGCCCAAGAUUCAGAAAUUUUUUUAAAACUGGAGCAUGUGUAUUAUGUGGCCAAUGUCUUCACUCUAACUUGGUUAUGAGACUAAACCAAUCCUCACUGCUCUAACAUGCUGAAGAAGCCAUCUGAGGGGGAGGGG